CUCCUGGGAAGUCCUCGUGUUGCACCCGGGUGCGAUCAUACCAACAC
RNAcentral lists this ribosomal RNA (47 nucleotides) under Quercus ilex. Lineage: Eukaryota; Viridiplantae; Streptophyta; Magnoliopsida; Fagales; Fagaceae. The record is from RNAcentral.